UGAACGCUGGCGGCGUGCCUAACACAUGCAAGUCGAACGCGAAAGUCUCCUUCGGGGGAUGAGUAGAGUGGCAGACGGGUGAGUAAUACAUAGGUAAUCUACCUUCGAGUGGGGGACAACUUACCGAAAGGUGAGCUAAUCCCGCAUGACAUCCCAAAUCAUAAGGUUUAGGAUUAAAGUGGGGGCUCCCUCCGGGGACCUCACGCUUGAAGAUGAGCUUAUGUCCUAUUAGCUUGUUGGUAGGGUAACGGCCUACCAAGGCAAUGAUGGGUAGCCGAGCUGAGAGGCUGAUCGGCCACACUGGAACUGAUACACGGUCCAGACUCCUACGGGAGGCAGCAGUGGGGAAUUUUGCGCAAUGGGCGAAAGCCUGACGCAGCGACGCCGCGUGAGGGAUGAAGGUCUUCGUGAUCGUAAACCUCUGUCAGGAAGGAUUAAAUGUACAUGAAUCAAUACCUCUUGUACUUGACUUAACUUCCAGAGGAAGCCCCGGCUAACUAC
RNAcentral lists this ribosomal RNA (501 nucleotides) under uncultured bacterium. Its description in RNAcentral is "bacterial SSU rRNA". It matches the Rfam family "Bacterial small subunit ribosomal RNA", at positions 30 to 504 of the family's 1533-position model. The record is from RNAcentral.